This 1594-nucleotide long non-coding RNA is filed under the name Capsicum annuum. RNAcentral describes it as "long non-coding RNA (CANN_LNC003987)". Lineage: Eukaryota; Viridiplantae; Streptophyta; Magnoliopsida; Solanales; Solanaceae. The record is from RNAcentral.
AAAUGAAACAUUUAACCUCAUAUUUUGUUCAUAGAGAAAAUACAUUAAAACUUCCUAAACAUGUCACUCCAACUUACUUUAACACUCUAAUUUUACAUUUAAUUAUUUAUCCCCUUAAUUUCGUUUUGAGCGAAUAUAACUCCCCCACAAAAAUGGAGAACCACACAUGCAGUGGGAGGUGGUUUACACGCUGUUAAUUUUUUUCAAAAAUAUUUUCUAAAGUUAUUUUUUUUCUUUUUCAUCCAUCAACUUCAAUUUUUCUUUUUCAUCCAUCAACUUCACGAGAAUACACAUCCAGAUACACUCCUCUCACCACAGACCUACACGGACACAUAUUCCCCCAAUUUCCAUGGAAGAGGUAGAGAGCAACACAAUACACACGACACAUACAUACGCACAAAUAUUGAUAUAUACACACACUGAACAAAAGGAAGAAAGGAGUAAGCUGACUUACUCAUUUUAUAUACACACAGAGAAUUCAUUCACUCACACAGCAAUAGGAGAAUACGCACACACACCAAAAAUCGGAGAAAAAUAAUCAAGAACAGUGGUAGAUAAAUAUUUGGGUCUGAUUUUCUUGUGAAAUCUAGCCGGAAAACGUCAUCCCACAAUCGCCUAUCGUUUCUUUCCAGUCUGAAUUCACCGGUGAAGCUCACCGAAGCUUCACCAUAGUCAAAUCCAUCGAAAAACGUCAUUGACAGUGACCAACACCUCAAAAAGGUAAAAUCGGCGAAUUCCAUCGAAAUUGGUUCCACCAACAAGGACUAGCGUAGUCUAUUUUAUCAACGCACCAUUGCUACUCUUCAUCCUCUUCAUCAUAACUACCACCAACUCACAAAUUCACCACCACUGUUAAAACCAUAUUUGUGGUCGUUAACUUCAUAGUACCCAUCACCAAGGCCCAAGAGCAAUACAACCUUCAUCUUUGUCAAUUUCAGAAUCUCCACCAUCAUCGUUAAUAUGAUUCACCCUCGCUGACAAUUCCACAAUACCCAACAACAACACCAAUGGCAACUAAAAUUAAAAGAAAUUAAAGAACAAUAACAGGAGAUGAGAUGCAAGUGGUGCGUGAAGAGGCUUAACAGUGCCGCCACCGAUUCCAUUAAAUUCGCAUCAAAUCGUUCAAUUUUCUCAUGAAUUAAAUUUCAAUUUCUUCAUGAAUUGAAUUUUAAUUUCUCCAUGAAUUGAAUUUUCAUUUUCUCAUGGAUCGAACAUCUUCCUCGGAGUCUUAAGAUGUAACAAUUACAUUCACCUCCAUAGACAUCUCUGACAAGCAAUUUGUCCUAUCACCUAUGUCAAGAAAAUUCGAUGGAAUAUAAGAUGUGGGAUUGGCGAUGGCGGAACAAUGAAGGAUCAUGUACGGUGGUGGGUGGAGAAAUAGUUUGUGAUAGAAGAAAAGGGUGGAGAGAGAAGAAAUAUAAAAAUUAAUGAAUAAAUUGGAAUUUGUUUAUUUUUAUUAAUUUUUUUGUUCCUCCACGCGUGUUUUGGAGAGUGAAAACACUCUCCUUAUUAGAGGAGGUGUUAAAUUCACUUGAAAUAAAAUUACGGGGCUAAAUAAUUAUAUAUAAAGUUAGAGUGCUAAAGCAAGUUGGAG